UGGCCCCCUCCACCUGUGGGGGGCGCCUAGCGCGGGAGCCGGCUUCGGAACCCGCCGUGGGAGAAACCGAGGGGAGCUAACGUGUGAGCCGAGAGGGGCCGAGCGUCGGCGUGCGGCGACGUGGGAAUCGAAUUUGAAGAGAGGCAGGCCUGAGAUGGACGGGGGUGCCACGGACUGACAUGCAAAAGACUUCAUGAGAAAUCAGUUGGGACGAAGGGAAGGACGAGGGACACAAUUCUGUCUUGACCAUGGUCUUUUCCAUUCUGUGUACACAUGAAGCUAUAGCAGACAAGUUCCUUGUUCUCAUUGUCUAGAACUCCUUUAGCCGUUGGUACUCUUGAUCACGGUCUGCCUAACAAAUACCUCCACGGGUUUCAAAAUUCGCCUCCUCGGUCCCGCCGUUCUGCAACGUCCCAGAUACAGUUGACCACGCUGUCUUUAAUAAUGUCGUGUGCUUUAUACAAUUAAAUCCCUCAUUGUACUUACCUAUUUAUAGGUCUCGUUCACUGUUUGACUAUUAAUCCCUUGAGGGCAAGCUGUAUACACAGUACAUGGUAACGGUACUUAAUAUAUGUUGAUACAUGUACUUAAUACAUGUCAGUGGAGUGAAUGAGUAACAAAUGAAAUCUCACUUCAGGCAUAAUGUUAUCUGGAUUCACCUCUCCCCUCCCAGGCAGCCCUAAAGGGUUCUUCCUGUUUACUCCUGUAAGGUCCUGUAUCACUUCUGUUCUAGCACCAUACUGUGCUCUAAUGUCGUAUUUUGCUCUAUAGCAUUGUUUCUUCUGCCUCUUUUGGUGCUUAUAUCCCUUCCCUGCAGUGUUCAAGUGCAAGGAUUUUAUCCUGUUAAUCUCUGUAUCCCAAUCACCUAGGUUCUUAAUAUAUGCUUUAAAAAUGUAUUGUUUAAUGGGGUGCCUGGGUGGCGCAGUCGGUUGAGCAUCCGACUUCAGCUCAGGUCAUGAUCUCACAGUUUGUGAGUUCGAGCCCCGCAUCAGGCUCUGUGCUGACAGCUCGGAGCCUGGAGCCUACUUCGGAUUCUGUGUCUCCCUCUCUCUCUACCCCUCCCCUGCUCAUACUCUUGUCUCUCUCUCUCAAAAAUGAAUAAACUUAAAAAAUUUUUUAAAAAUAAAAUAAAAAUGUAUUGUUUAAUAAUUAAAGAGCUAUCUUGCCUUUUAAAGUCUUAUAUCACAUAAUCAUGCCCAUGUUUUUCCACCUUCACUAAGGAUUCUCUAAUGACUCUGGGCUAGAACUCCCCCAGAAUCUUUCGCUCAGUGUUCUAUUGACCUGUACCUGUAUCUCUUUUGUGUAAUUACCACUUUCUAGGACAGUAAUUGGUACAGAGUGACUACAAAAGCCUAAGAACAAGAAAAAUCUUAUUCUUCAUUAUAUUCCCAUACAGCUGUAAUUCUCUUCUUUUUUUAUACUUGAAUAGCACACUAGUUCCUAGAGCCCUUGUCAUAAUUCUACCCUUCCCAUGGGAGAGAGCUGUAAAAACAAUGCUUCUGAAUCUGAUAUGAUUUAUUUUGUUAAAAUAAGCAAUCAUAAACUACUGCAUUUAUACUAUUAUUGAUAACUAGUUAUGCCAAUCUCUUGUCUCCCCAGAAGGCUUUCUUUGAAUGUUUGAUGAAUGAAUAAAAGAAGGAAGGAAUACUAUUUCCAUUACCAACUUCAGAGGGAUUUCAGACUUUGCUUUUUGUCCAAAAUUAGUCUGCUCAUUUUAUCUAUCACUGCUUAGAGCCAAAAAUAAUUUAUUUGUAUGGGCUAGAGGAAGUUAGUAUUGUCCUUUAUAAGCCAAAUUUGAAAUAAAAUAAUAGUUUCACUUAAAAGAAAUACGCUUCUUUUUUCCAGGCCAUACUAACCUUGGAAACAAAUAGAAAUGUUUACAGGAACUGAGUUUUCCCUGAGGUGUUAGUAUGGUCUGACCUCUCUAUUCUCUGUGUAACCCAAGUAACUGCUACUCUUUCCCAUUUCCCAUGUUCCCCAGCACUUGCUUUUCCAUCUGGCGCCCACUGCUGCUUUCUUGAUCCCCAAAAUUGAGGAGGAGGGAUUUUUUUUUCCUCCCAGUGACUACAACUCUUUAACAAUUGAAAAGGUGAUCUUGGGGGUGCCUGGGUGGCUCAGUCGGUUAAGCGGUUAAGCGGUUAAGCGUCUGACUCUUGAUUUCAGCUCAGGUCAUUUAAUUUCAGCUCAGGUCAUGAUCUCACAGUUGGUGAGUUGGAGCCCCACAUCGGGCUUUGCACUGACAGUACACGGAGCCUGCUUGGGAUUCUCUCCUCUCUUUCUGCCCCUUCCCCCUCUCACACAUGCACGGGCUCUCUCUCAAAAUAAAUAAACUUUAAAAAGUUAAAAAAAAAAGUGAAAGGCGAUUUUGUUCUUUUGGUUUAGACCCCAUUAUACAACGCAGAACUUGAAACAAAUGUCUCAGGAGGACUGAGCACCAGGAGGAAGUUAUCAUGCACGCUCAGCCCCAACCCGUUAUCCCUGCAAACCAUAGUAGCCCAGCCCUGGAGCACCUGUCUCUCUGCUCCUUCUACCUGCGUGGGUAAUUCUCCCCUUCUCAGGGAACACCUUCCACUUUUUCAAAGACUGGAGGCAGCUUUUAUUUCCCCCCACUUUGUUUUUCCUCUUUGUGUAAUCAUCCAAGUGCCCCAGAAAGCUGCUCCUGAUGCUGGGAGAAAGGGAGAAGGCAUGUAGGGAGGACGUCUCUGUGCAAAGUUGACACUUGGGUUCCCUUGCCAGAAUUUAGAAAGUGAGCAUGUGGUUGGCAUCCCUACCGUGAUCCUGCUCUCAUACACUUUCCUGAUUUGAUCCUCUUGAUAUCUCACAUAGAUCAUGUAACAAAGUGUGUGGAAUGUCAGGCUUACUUGGCUGCAGACAGAGAUUAGGGAUAUGCUAAAAAUCAUAAUGCAUAAUGAGAAACUUAUCACAGCAUCUCUCAUGAGUUUUUCCAGGGGAAAAAAAAAAGAAUUCAAAGCAAUCUUCAACUAUAUUCCUGGAAAUAAAUAGGUCUUUAAAUUUUUCCUCAGGAGGAAAAAAAAGAAACCACCUUAAGUAUCAUCCUCUAUUUUUUAAAAUGUAUAUUUCCAGCCUUUUAUAAUCUUUUUCAAGUCUUGUUUUGGGAACAACAAAGAAAAAAGUAAAAAUAAAUUUGAAGGCAUUCUUUUUGUUUUGCUUUAAAUCUGAUUCUAAUUCUCUUUAAUAAAACUUACAACCAUUUUUUUUUUUAGAUUCAAGUUAGUUAACAUACAGUGCAGUAUUGGGUUUCAGUAGAAUUUAGUGAUUUAUCAUUUACACGCAACACCCAAUGAUCAUCCCAACAAGUGCCCUCCUUAUCGCCCAUCACCUAUUUAACCCAUCCCCCCACCUGCCUCCCCUCUAGCAACUCUCAGUUUGCUCUCUGUAUUUAAGAGUCUCUUGUGGUUUGCCUUCCUGUUUUUAUCUUAUUUUAUUUUUCCUUCUCUUCCCCUAUAUUCAUGUUUUGUUUCUUAAAUUCUGUAUAUGAGUGAAGUCAUAUGUUAUUUGUCUUUCUCUGACUUAUGUCACUUAGCAUAAUAAACUCUAGUUCCAUCCAUGUUGUUGCAAAUGGCAACAUUUCAUUCUUUUUGAUUGCCUAGUAAU
Acinonyx jubatus (cheetah) is the source of this 3615-nucleotide long non-coding RNA. RefSeq lists it as uncharacterized. The record is from RefSeq and is a predicted model, not a curated record. NCBI's taxonomy places the organism in Eukaryota, Metazoa, Chordata, Mammalia, Carnivora, Felidae. The transcript has 3 exons.